Molecule: ribosomal RNA, 800 nt
Filed under: uncultured archaeon
Lineage: Archaea
Description: bacterial SSU rRNA
Rfam family: Archaeal small subunit ribosomal RNA
Source: RNAcentral
GGGCAAAAAUUGGAUCGCUAACCAUGCGAGUCGAGAGGGUUCGGCCCUCGGCUGACGGCUCAGUAACACGUGGAUCAUUUGCCCUUAGGUGGAGGAUAACCUCGGGAAACUGAGAAUACCACUCCAUAGGUCUAGGAUGCUGGAAUGCACUUAGAUCAAAAGUUCCGGCGCCUAAGGAUGAGUCUGCGGACUAUCCCGUUGUAGUCAGGGUAAUGACCUGACUAGCCAACGACGGAUAUGGGUUGUGAGAGCAAUAACCCAGAGAUGAUAUCUGAGACACGAUAUCAGGCCCUACGGGGCGCAGCAGGCGCGAAAACUUCACAAUGCGCGAAAGCGCGAUGAGGGAAUCCCAAGUGCUUGCACGUAAGUGUAAGCUGUUUCUUUGUUUAAAAUGCAUUGAGAGUAAGGGCUGGGUAAGACGGGUGCCAGCCGCCGCGGUAAUACCUGCAGCUCAAGUGGUAGUCGCUAUUAUUGGGCCUAAAACGUUCGUAGCCGGUUUAAUAAAUGCCUGGGUAAAUCGUAUGGCUCAACUAUACGAAUUCCGGGUAGACUGUUAAACUUGAGACCGGGAGAAGUCGGAGGUACUCCUGGGGUAGAGGUGAAAUUCUGUAAUCCUAGGGGGACCACCAGUGGCGAAGGCGUCCGACUAGAACGGGUCUGACGGUGAGGGACGAAGCCCUGGGGCGCAAACCGGAUUAGAUACCCGGGUAGUCCAGGGUGUAAACGCUGCUUGCUUGAUGUUAGUUGGGCUCCGAGCCCAAUUAGUGUCGGAGAGAAGUUGUUAAGCAAGCUGCCUGGGA